Molecule: non-coding RNA, 306 nt
Organism: Phasianus colchicus (ring-necked pheasant)
Lineage: Eukaryota; Metazoa; Chordata; Aves; Galliformes; Phasianidae
Source: RefSeq, a predicted model, not a curated record
GGAACUGUGUGGGUUACUUUGUGCCAGAAGGCAAAGGGGUGUCCUCAAGAUGCCAGCAAAGAUAUCUGUAGAGAAUACAGUGGUCUGACAGCAAGGAAGGGGUGCUUCACAUCUUCAGUAAGCACAACAGUAUUUAAUCUGUCUCCCAGUGAGGAAGACAGCAAAAUCUAUGCAGAAGCUUCUCUCCUGGAGGAAGGCACAGGAGUCCAAAUCAACACGUCCAGCCAAAUUGUCAUUUCCAGGACAGCUGCAAGUGUAGUGUUUGAGACACCAAAUGCUUACUAUAUCCCUGGAGUACCCUUCAAG